This 446-nucleotide ribosomal RNA is filed under the name uncultured bacterium. Its description in RNAcentral is "partial 16S ribosomal RNA". It matches the Rfam family "Bacterial small subunit ribosomal RNA", at positions 338 to 795 of the family's 1533-position model. The record is from RNAcentral.
CCUACGGGGGGCAGCAGUCGAGAAUCUUUCACAAUGGGGGAAACCCUGAUGGUGCAACGCCGCGUGGGGGAAUGAAGCUCUUCGGUUUUUAAACCCCUUUCAUGUGGGAGCAAAUUAAAAAGUUAGUGCCACAAGAGGAAGGGCCGGCUAAGUCUGUGCCAGCAGCCGCGGUAAUACAGAGGACUCAAGCGUUGUUCGGAUUCACUGGGCGGAAAGCGUGCGUAGGCGGUUUCGUAAGUCGUGUGUGAAAGGCGCGGGCUUAACCCGCGGACGGCACAUGAUACUGCGAGGCUGGAGUAAGGGAGGGGUAGCUGGAAUUCUCGGUGGAGCAGUGAAAUGCGUAGAGAUCGAGAGGAACACUCAUGGCGAAGGCGGCUUCCUGGACCGUAACUGACGCUGAGGCACGAAGGCCAGGGGAGCGAAAGGGAUUAGAUACCCGGGUAGUC